UACGGUGGGGGCAAGCGUUGUUCGGAAUUACUGGGCGUAAAGGGCUCGUAGGUGGCCAACUAAGUCAGACGUGAAAUCCCUCGGCUUAACCGGGGAACUGCGUCUGAUACUGGAUGGCUUGAGAUUGGGAGAGGGACGCGGAAUUCCAGGUGUAGCGGUGAAAUGCGUAGAUAUCUGGAGGAACACCGGUGGCGAAGGCGGCGUCCUGGACCAACACUGACACUGAGGAGCGAAAGCCAGGGGAGCAAACGGG
This 253-nucleotide ribosomal RNA is filed under the name uncultured bacterium. RNAcentral's name for it is "partial 16S ribosomal RNA". It matches the Rfam family "Bacterial small subunit ribosomal RNA", at positions 524 to 776 of the family's 1533-position model. The record is from RNAcentral.